GGAAUGAGGCCAAGGCAGUUACAGUUAGAGGUCAGAUUUAUGAGGGGAGAGCCAGAGUGAGGUCCGUGGGUGGGGAGACCUGAUGCUGCCCCUCAGACGUGUAUUUCUCAGACACCAAAGAAAGUGGAAUCACUCCUUAGUGAAUGCUUUCAUCAGACUUUUGAAAAACCUGUAAUGUCCCAGGAAGGAAAAUCGAACUGGACAGUUUUCCCCUUUUAAGAGUGUUAAACGUCCCGGAGACAAACAGCAGAAGGCUCAAGGAGUCCAAAUACUCAACCUGAAGUUCUUUCUGAACAAAAGAUGGUGUAUAAGUAACAGGCAUAGGAGACAAAACUGAACUAAUGACCGCAGCUGUGGCUCCUAGCCCUGUAGCAUGUCAUGCAGGCCCUUUUGCCUUCUCUGCCCUCCGCUGUCCCAGACCCCAAGGCUACCGCGCACCUCCAGUCAUCAGCUCCUGCCGACCCAUUGCUAUGAACUCUGUUUCUGUGGCUCCCUUCUCUCUGAAGUUUUGCUUGUUCUCCUGAAGUCCUGGUCUUUAAGAGCUUAUGAUCUGCAGGGACAGAUUGGCUUUGGGUAGUACAAGUUAACUGUAGCACAGCUUGAAAAAUGCUCUGAUAGAGGUGCGCAGGCAGUUUGUGCAUGCUGGUAAAUGCGAGGUCCUUUUUCAAUACCAUGAAUCCAACUAUUCAUGCUCUUUUAAAUCUGCAAUUCUUUGACUCUCCAGAGGGUUUUUAGAUUAAUUUUUUUUCUAUUACUUCCUAGUGUUUGUUGCAUAGUUCAGAGUACUUGAUUAAAACUUACCAGGUCGGCCGGGUGCGGUGGCUCACGCCUGUAAUCCGAGGACUUUGGGAGGUCUAGGCAGGCGGAUCACUUGAGGUCAGGAGUUCGAGACCAACCUGGCCAACAUGGUGAAACCCUGUCUCUACUAAAAAUACAAAAAUUAGUUGGGCGUGGUGGUGGGCGCCUGUAAUCGCAGCUCCUCAGGAGGCUGAGGCAGGAGAAUAGCUUGAACCCAGGAGGCGGAGGUUGCAGUGAGUGAAAUGGCUCCACUGCACUCCAGCCUGGGCCAUAGAGUGAGACUUCCUCUCAAAACAAAAACAAAAACAAUGUACUGGGUCUACCUCCGGCUCUGGAAUUCUCCUGGAAGGCCUUCUCUUCUGGGCUUCAUUUUUCUCACUUUUGAGGAUCAUAAACUACAUAAUUUCCAAGAAUUUUUGCCCUACACCUUUAAUUCUUUCAAGCAAAUAUAGCAGAGAAAAAUUCUCUUCCCCGCAAUGGUGUAAAUAAUGGAGGCCUUUGAAAAUGCGGAUUCUAAAGUGGAAGUUCUUUUUCUUCUUCCCCUUUGUUUCCUUUUAAACGAGUUUAGUUACAUGAGUAUAUACUUUAUCUCAGAGUUGAGGACAAGUAUCUAUGAUGAAAGCUUAAGCAGCUUUUUGGCAAUAUCUUGCAUAUUCUUCACAAUUGUGUUUUAUGUGUAGCAUCUUCCCUAUAUCCAGUUGGUUUGUUUUUUUUCUCAUUAAUGGAGUUGUUGAGCUCAGACCUUUUCAGGAGCAGUUUGUUGAUCUUUUAAGUGUCAUGUGAAAUACGUUCCAAUUUAACUUUUUUUUUUUUGGUGAGUAAAAUGGGAGUAAAUGGAAAUUUGAGAGUGCCUUGAGUAGAUGUACUUGGCUUUGUGUAAUGGUUUGAAGCAUAGUUUAAAAUUACCACUUGUGGCCGGGUGUGGUAGCUCACACCUGUAAUCCCAACACUUUGGGAGGGCAAGGCAGGCAGAUCACGAGGUUAGAAGAUGGAGACCAUCCUGGCUAACACGGUGAAACCCCGUCUCCACUAAAAAUACAAAAAAUUAGCUGAAUGUGGUGGCACACACCUGUAGUCUCAGCUACUCGGGAGGCUGAGGCAGGAGAAUCACUUGAACCCGGGAGGUGGAGCUUGCAGUGAGCCGAGGUUGCACCACUGCACUCCAGCCUGGGUGACAGAGUGAGACUCCAAAAAAAAAAAAAAAAAA
Molecule: long non-coding RNA, 2005 nt
Filed under: Macaca fascicularis (crab-eating macaque)
Lineage: Eukaryota; Metazoa; Chordata; Mammalia; Primates; Cercopithecidae
Description: lncRNA (ENSMFAG00000063549.1)
Source: RNAcentral